Molecule: ribosomal RNA, 257 nt
Filed under: uncultured bacterium
Lineage: Bacteria
Description: partial 16S ribosomal RNA
Rfam family: Bacterial small subunit ribosomal RNA
Source: RNAcentral
AGAGUUUGAUCAUGGCUCAGGACGAACGCUGGCGGCGUGCCUAACACAUGCAAGUCGAGCGGAGACAGUGAGUAGCUUGCUAUGAGCUGUUUUUAGCGGCGGACGGGUGAGUAACGCGUGAGCAACCUUUCCCAGACAGGGGGAAUAACACACCGAAAGGUGUACUAAAUCCCGCAUAAGACCACGGAAUCACAUGGUUCUGAGGUAAAAGAUUUAUCGGUUUGGGGUGGGCUCGCGUCCGAUUAGGUAGUUGGUGA